Molecule: long non-coding RNA, 379 nt
Organism: Daphnia pulicaria
Lineage: Eukaryota; Metazoa; Arthropoda; Branchiopoda; Diplostraca; Daphniidae
Exons: 3
Source: RefSeq, a predicted model, not a curated record
AGCUAGGCCAUCCCAGAAUUGUUGACUCAAGAGAUUUCAUCCAGAAGUUGUAGUGUCUCAUUUAAACAACACAGAAGAAUCAUUUAAUGCCAGGUUUUCACAGAUAGGAAAGUGACACCUAAAGUGUUAUGCAUUAAAAAAGAAGAUUCAAUUCAGUAAUGUCGCAAAUGCUGUGUAAAAAUGCAAUGCCAACUUACCCCAAUUCAUUGGGCAACUUACCCCGUAGUUCGGGCAAGUUGCCCAUUUAAGGUGACGCAUUAAAACGUAUUUUUCGGCAAGUACUUUUCCUUUUCUAAUAAUUUGUUUUACGCUACUUUUUAGUUAAGAUAAUAAGGUUUCAUUUAAGCUAAAAAUUUUAUCAUUUUAAUGAAAAUUACGA